Molecule: unclassified non-coding RNA, 585 nt
Filed under: Hevea brasiliensis (rubber tree)
Lineage: Eukaryota; Viridiplantae; Streptophyta; Magnoliopsida; Malpighiales; Euphorbiaceae
Source: RNAcentral
CCUCCACAAGCUCCUAGAAGUGAGGGUCCUGCAUGGGGUGGGGCUAAGGUUUCAAAAGGAUUUGCUUCACUUCGUGAAAUUCAGGAUGAACAGAGCAAAACCAAGGUGAACCAAUCAGCAAAAAAUACAGAUCAGGUAGAAGAUCAUUCUGAUGGUAAAAGUGAUGGGAAGGUUCUGUUGAGUUCCUUCUUGCCUUCAAAACCUAUACCUGUGGUAUCAUCACAUGCAUCACCGACGUCUGAUUCAGAAAAAAGCACACCUCCUUGGGCUUCUGGAACUCCUCCCUUUCUUUCUCGGCCAUCUCUUAGAGACAUCCAAAUGCAGCAGCAAGGGAAACAGCAGCAGAAUAAUUCCCAUAGUCCAAAGACAAGAACAGCUGGAUUCUCAAUUGCAUCUGGCCAGGGAUCACCAUCAGAUUCUCCAGGGAUGAACCGCUGGUUCAAACCUGAGAUAAACACACCUGCAUCAAUUCGUUCAAUUCAGAUUGAAGAGAAGGCUAUGAAAGACUUGAAGCGGUUCUACAGCACCGUCAAGAUUGUGAAGAAUCCAACUUAAAUGGGGGACUGCAUGAUACUUGCAUCCAUG